This 542-nucleotide long non-coding RNA is filed under the name Camarhynchus parvulus. RNAcentral's name for it is "lncRNA (ENSCPVG00000013507.2)". Lineage: Eukaryota; Metazoa; Chordata; Aves; Passeriformes; Thraupidae. The record is from RNAcentral.
AUGAUGUUGAUGUUGGUGAUGAUAAUGAUGAUGAUGAUGAGUACAUGCCCCCUGAAGAGAGCUUGAGGAGCCCCAGUUCAGUUACUGAAGCUGCCAAUACUGGGAGAAGAAAUGCCGAAGAAUUCAGUUUUGAGUCCUCCCACCAUGACAUGUCAGAAAUAAGUGAGAAGCCUGAGGUUGAGGUCACCAUUGAAGAAGAUGAUGACGACUAUCCACCACCUGACAAGAGGCAGAAGAGCACCAAGUCGGCUAAUGAAGGGGCCAGUACUGGGAGAAGAAAUGCAGAAGAGUCCAAUUCUGAUUCCUCCCACGAUGACUCGUCAGAAGCAAGUGAGGAUUCUGAGCCUGAAAUCACUAGUCAAGGUCAGUUCUGCAGGUCAUUGAUUACAAUUUUUUGGGCAUUUUUCUAUCCAGAAUGCGUUUUCCACAUAUUGCACUACUUGGCACUGAAUGAAGAGAAUUGUGUGCUGGUAUUGAGUAUAGUUUGGAUUGUGCACUGCUUGGUGAACGAACCUGGUGGUGAAGUAUUAGAAAACAGGUAA